This is a long non-coding RNA of Aquila chrysaetos chrysaetos, 424 nucleotides long. RefSeq lists it as uncharacterized. The record is from RefSeq and is a predicted model, not a curated record. The transcript has 3 exons. NCBI's taxonomy places the organism in Eukaryota, Metazoa, Chordata, Aves, Accipitriformes, Accipitridae.
AACUCUUGCACUUCAGUGACGGUCAGAGCGGCACUGUUUUUCACUCAGUCAUCGAUCGGUUCAGCAAAACAUCCGGGGCGACUGCCAGUAUUCAAAUUCAGGUUUUUCUCUCCUAAUUCUAGUACAAAUAAGUCUUCCAAAUUAUCUGGAAGGUUGAGGAACAGCUGACAAAGCCUGAAGAAAACAAGGCAAACAAAUGCUUUUCACAACCUGGACCUCAGAAUUGUUUUCAAACACAGCUCCUUUGGACUCCAGAAAAUUAGAGUCACAGAAUCAUAGAAUAUUUCAAGUUAGAAGGGACCCAUAAGCAUCAUCAAGUCCAACCCCCUGCUCCUUGCAGGGAGUUACAUCUUUCAAGAUAGUGAGUAAAAUGUAUUAUGUAUAUACUUGUGUAUGAUUUUACAUGAAAACUAAUUACAGGAUU